Molecule: ribosomal RNA, 115 nt
Filed under: Escherichia coli
Lineage: Bacteria; Pseudomonadati; Pseudomonadota; Gammaproteobacteria; Enterobacterales; Enterobacteriaceae
Source: RNAcentral
CCUGGCGGCAGUAGCGCGGUGGUCCCACUGACCCCAUGCCGAACUCAGAAGUGAAACGCCGUAGCGCCGAUGGUAGUGUGGGGUCUCCCCAUGCGAGAGUAGGGAACUGCCAGGC